GACGAACGCUGGCGGCGUGCUUAACACAUGCAAGUCGAACGGAAAGGCCCUGCUUUUGUGGGGUGCUCGAGUGGCGAACGGGUGAGUAACACGUGAGUAACCUGCCCUUGACUUUGGGAUAACUUCAGGAAACUGGGGCUAAUACCGGAUAGGAGCUCCUGCUGCAUGGUGGGGGUGGGAAAGUUUCGGCGGUUGGGGAUGGACUCGCGGCUUAUCAGCUUGUUGGUGGGGUAGUGGCUUACCAAGGCUUUGACGGGUAGCCGGCCUGAGAGGGUGACCGGCCACAUUGGGACUGAGAUACGGCCCAGACUCCUACGGGCGGCAGCAGUGGAGAAUAUUGCACAAUGGGCGGAAGCCUGAUGCAGCAACGCCGCGUGCGGGAUGACGGCCUUCGGGUUGUAAACCGCUUUCGCCUGUGACGAAGCGUGAGUGACGGUAAUGGGUAAAGAAGCACCGGCUAACUACGUG
RNAcentral lists this ribosomal RNA (468 nucleotides) under uncultured bacterium. RNAcentral's name for it is "partial 16S ribosomal RNA". It matches the Rfam family "Bacterial small subunit ribosomal RNA", at positions 28 to 507 of the family's 1533-position model. The record is from RNAcentral.